CAUCCGAUGAAAUUAAUAGGCAGCAAGUUUAAAACAAACAAAAGGAAGUAUUUCAUACAAUGCACAGUCAACCUGUGGAAUUCGUUGUCAAGGGGUGUUAUGAAGACCAGAGCUAUAAUUGGAUUAAAACGAGACUUAAAUAAAUUCAUGAAGGGUAGGUCCAUGAAUUUCAAGGAUGCCUCCCCAUGCUCUAGGGUUUCCCUAGCCUCUGACUACCAGUUGCUGGGACUGGACUAUGGGAUGGAUCACUUGAUGAUUGCCCUGUUCUAUUCAUUCCCUUUCAAGCAUCUGGCAUUGGCCAGUGUCCAAAGACAAGAUUCUGGGCUAGAUGGACCUUUGGUCUGAUCCAGUAUGGAAAUGGAGUGGAAAUGGUUCCAUUAACUUUGAGCAUGAGGAAAAUAGGAAUGAAAAACGCAACAUACCCUUUUGUUUUGUUUUGUUUUGUUUUGUUUUUAAAAAGCCGUAACACCUUCUUGCAACCAUCUUCAUCCUUUUGGAGAAGUUCUGUUCUGUAAAUUCAUGACUGAAUUAAUUACCUCAGCUUGCAUAGCUCCCGAAUUAAGCAAUGCUUGAUGGUACUGCUUUUGACAUAUCUGUGUGGAUUUGGUUAUUAAUAGUUUAAGGUUUGAUUUGUUAUGUUGUUUUAAAGUAUUUUAAUACAGAUCGCAAUUUAGAAAAGACAUUAUAGUUGCUUUUUUCCC
This is a long non-coding RNA of Dermochelys coriacea (leatherback sea turtle), 701 nucleotides long. RefSeq lists it as uncharacterized. Lineage: Eukaryota; Metazoa; Chordata; Testudines; Dermochelyidae. The transcript is spliced from 3 exons. The record is from RefSeq and is a predicted model, not a curated record.